Molecule: long non-coding RNA, 595 nt
Filed under: Brachypodium distachyon (stiff brome)
Lineage: Eukaryota; Viridiplantae; Streptophyta; Magnoliopsida; Poales; Poaceae
Description: long non-coding RNA (BDIS_LNC001010)
Source: RNAcentral
AGAAGAAGCUCUCUGUGAUGGACGUCACCGGCGUGCGGCACGACGCCCUGAACCUCUCCAUCAUGGCUGGGCAAGAAGCAGCACGGCGGUGCGACGCACUGCAGAGCAGAAGGGCCGCGAGGUCCGCGGCACGGGCUGGGUGGAGAGCAGAAGCUGCGCGCUGCAGCGAGUGCCGCGAGGUUCUGGGUUGAGAGCAGAAGCUACGCACUGCGAAGAGCGUGCCGAGGUGGCGGCGCGGGAUGGGGGGCGAUCGGUGGCGAUGCACUGGAGGAGGGCGAGGACUGCGGAGGCCGCACACUGCGCGGAGGGCGCCGACGGCGCUUCAGAGGAGGGCGGCGGAUCGGGAUCGACUGGGAAGGAGAAGAUCGGGAGUAUAUUUUUCUUUUUUCUUUUAAUGGGAAAAGUAUCGUGCCCUUCCUCGUUACUCCAUCUAGACACUGUGGAGUAUCAGGUACUGAAGAAAACGUCAUAUACAUAACCACGUCAUUGGUCGCAUCCAGAUUGCUCAAGAUCAAAACUCAGAGUCACGUGGCUUGAGAUCGGAACUUGAAAACAAAUCAUCGUAAGCACCUCGUUAUGAAUAAAUAUUAAUUGC